This 274-nucleotide ribosomal RNA is filed under the name uncultured bacterium. Its description in RNAcentral is "partial 16S ribosomal RNA". It matches the Rfam family "Bacterial small subunit ribosomal RNA", at positions 524 to 796 of the family's 1533-position model. The record is from RNAcentral.
GACGAACCGUGCGAACGUUAUUCGGAAUCACUGGGCUUAAAGGGCGCGUAGACGGGCGACCGCGUCGACGGCUGAAAGCCCCCGGCUCAACCGGGGAACGGGCCUCGAUACGGGUCGCCUCGAGGGGAGGAGGGGGACCUGGAACUGCCGGUGGAGCGGUGAAAUGCGUUGAGAUCGGCAGGAACGCCCGCGGCGAAAGCGAGGUCCUGGACUCUCUCUGACGUUGAGGCGCGAAAGCCAGGGGAGCGAACGGGAUUAGAUACCCUCGUAGUCC